AUGCCAGUCCCCUCAUCACCUCUUCCCAAUGCCCCUCCUCCCAAUGCCACUGCAUGGGGGCCCAAGCAUCCGACCCCUGAACCCCGGGGGCACACUCCACCCACAGCCCCGGGGAACAACGAGGGAUUGGCUGACAUGAUCUAUCUUACUCUCAAAUAUCAUGUUCUCUACUUCGUGUUUCCUACAGAUGCCAGUGGACACAGGGAAAAAUUGGCUACCACCCCUUCACUGCCUCUGGCAGGGACCUCAAAUCCAUCAGUGUCCAGUGUGAAUGCGUGGUGGCCGGCACUGCCACCCCGAGACUCCGGGACGGGACCAGCCCCACACACCCAACCAACGCGUGCCGACGGGGGCCGCGCCACUGUCUGCAGGCUGGGGGAUGUCAGCCCAGCUGCCGCCCCUGUGUGCAGGCCUCGCCCGCAGUGGACGGUGAGUUGGCUCGUUCCAGCGACCACGUAGCUGCACCUGCACUGACGCCGGACCUCACGCCUCCCUCUCCAAGUGCUUCCCCGGCCUGGUGUGUUUCUGAGCUUUCCGGAGCGCACCCCACGUGCGGGAUAAACGGUGCUCAGCUGGGGCUUGUCCCACCUGCUCUGAGCAGAGACUGCACCGUUCACGCACCCUUCCCACUGGACCGUAAGCUACGAGGGCACAGGGAAUCCUGCAGAGACAUUUCCCUCCUGCCCCAAAGUCCUCUCGAGACCGUGGUGAACAUAAGCGAAGGAUUCCACAGCCGUGCUACCAUGCCUGGCCCCUGGGCCCACGCCUGCUGGAGCGCAGUUCUGCUCCCGCCCUCUGAUGCACCCCUGGCCGUCAAGACCGCCCAGCUCCCCUUCCGGCACCCUGCCCCCAGUUAGAUGGCAGGUCCUCCUCUCCACCUGUCACACUGCUGUUGACAAGCAAGUUGCCUGUGGGAGUCAGGGCAAAGUGCUGGGUCAGCCAAGGCCCCCGAAACCCACUCGCUGGCCACCACUUACCCCAGUGCCCCCCAGUAAGUGCAGUUGUUGAGAGUGAUCCUGACACUUCCUCC
Molecule: long non-coding RNA, 1030 nt
Filed under: Oryctolagus cuniculus (rabbit)
Lineage: Eukaryota; Metazoa; Chordata; Mammalia; Lagomorpha; Leporidae
Description: lncRNA (ENSOCUG00000030196.1)
Source: RNAcentral